Molecule: ribosomal RNA, 424 nt
Filed under: uncultured bacterium
Lineage: Bacteria
Description: bacterial SSU rRNA
Rfam family: Bacterial small subunit ribosomal RNA
Source: RNAcentral
UAACGAAUCUUCCGCAAUGUACGCAAGUAUGACGGAGCGACGCCGCGUGUAGGAUGAAGCCCUUCGGGGUGUAAACUACUGUCAGGGGAUAGAAAGUUCUGAUCGUCCCCAGAGGAAGGCACGGCUAACUCUGUGCCAGCAGCCGCGGUAAGACAGAGGUGCCAAGCGUUAGGCGGAAUCACUGGGCUUAAAGCGUGUGUAGGCGGACUCCUAAGUACUUUGUGAAAUCCCACGGCUCAACCGUGGAACUGCUUGGUAUACUGGGAGUCUUGAGCCAGCUAGGGGCUACCGGAACAAAUGGUGGAGCGGUGAAAUGCGUAGAUAUCAUUUGGAACGCCAAUGGUGAAAACAGGUAGCUGGGGCUGUGCUGACGCUGAGACACGAAAGCCAGGGGAGCGAACGGGAUUAGAUACCCCCGUAGUCC